Molecule: ribosomal RNA, 466 nt
Filed under: uncultured bacterium
Lineage: Bacteria
Description: partial 16S ribosomal RNA
Rfam family: Bacterial small subunit ribosomal RNA
Source: RNAcentral
GAUGAACGCUGGCGGCGUGCUUAACACAUGCAAGUCGAACGAUGAAGCCCAGCUUGCUGGGUGGAUUAGUGGAGAACGGGUGAGUAACACGUGAGUAACCUGCCCUUAACUCUGGGAUAAGCCUGGGAAACUGGGUCUAAUACCGGAUAGGAGCGUCCACCGCAUGGUGGGUGUUGGAAAGAUUUAUCGGUUUUGGAUGGACUCGCGGCCUAUCAGCUUGUUGGGGAGGUAAUGGCUCACCAAGGCGACGACGGGUAGCCGGCCUGGGAGGGUGACCGGCCAAACAGGGACUGAGACACGGCCCAGACUCCUACGGGGGGCAGCAGGGGGGAAUAUUGCACAAUGGGCGCAAGCCUGAUACAGCGACGCCGCGUGAGGGAUGACGGCCUUCGGGGUGUAAACCUCUUUCAGUAGGGAAGAAGCGAAAGUGACGGUACCUGCAGAAGAAGCACCGGCUAACUACGUG